RNAcentral lists this ribosomal RNA (1487 nucleotides) under Lactiplantibacillus plantarum. RNAcentral's name for it is "bacterial SSU rRNA". It matches the Rfam family "Bacterial small subunit ribosomal RNA". Lineage: Bacteria; Bacillati; Bacillota; Bacilli; Lactobacillales; Lactobacillaceae. The record is from RNAcentral. RNAcentral also lists the same sequence under 1 other name.
GACGAACGCUGGCGGCGUGCCUAAUACAUGCAAGUCGAACGAACUCUGGUAUUGAUUGGUGCUUGCAUCAUGAUUUACAUUUGAGUGAGUGGCGAACUGGUGAGUAACACGUGGGAAACCUGCCCAGAAGCGGGGGAUAACACCUGGAAACAGAUGCUAAUACCGCAUAACAACUUGGACCGCAUGGUCCGAGCUUGAAAGAUGGCUUCGGCUAUCACUUUUGGAUGGUCCCGCGGCGUAUUAGCUAGAUGGUGGGGUAACGGCUCACCAUGGCAAUGAUACGUAGCCGACCUGAGAGGGUAAUCGGCCACAUUGGGACUGAGACACGGCCCAAACUCCUACGGGAGGCAGCAGUAGGGAAUCUUCCACAAUGGACGAAAGUCUGAUGGAGCAACGCCGCGUGAGUGAAGAAGGGUUUCGGCUCGUAAAACUCUGUUGUUAAAGAAGAACAUAUCUGAGAGUAACUGUUCAGGUAUUGACGGUAUUUAACCAGAAAGCCACGGCUAACUACGUGCCAGCAGCCGCGGUAAUACGUAGGUGGCAAGCGUUGUCCGGAUUUAUUGGGCGUAAAGCGAGCGCAGGCGGUUUUUUAAGUCUGAUGUGAAAGCCUUCGGCUCAACCGAAGAAGUGCAUCGGAACUGGGAGACUUGAGUGCAGAAGAGGACAGUGGAACUCCAUGUGUAGCGGUGAAAUGCGUAGAUAUAUGGAAGAACACCAGUGGCGAAGGCGGCUGUCUGGUCUGUAACUGACGCUGAGGCUCGAAAGUAUGGGUAGCAAACAGGAUUAGAUACCCUGGUAGUCCAUACCGUAAACGAUGAAUGCUAAGUGUUGGAGGGUUCCGCCCUUCAGUGCUGCAGCUAACGCAUUAAGCAUUCCGCCUGGGGAGUACGGCCGCAAGGCUGAAACUCAAAGGAAUUGACGGGGGCCCGCACAAGCGGUGGAGCAUGUGGUUUAAUUCGAAGCUACGCGAAGAACCUUACCAGGUCUUGACAUACUAUGCAAAUCUAAGAGAUUAGACGUUCCCUUCGGGGACAUGGAUACAGGUGGUGCAUGGUUGUCGUCAGCUCGUGUCGUGAGAUGUUGGGUUAAGUCCCGCAACGAGCGCAACCCUUAUUAUCAGUUGCCAGCAUUAAGUUGGGCACUCUGGUGAGACUGCCGGUGACAAACCGGAGGAAGGUGGGGAUGACGUCAAAUCAUCAUGCCCCUUAUGACCUGGGCUACACACGUGCUACAAUGGAUGGUACAACGAGUUGCGAACUCGCGAGAGUAAGCUAAUCUCUUAAAGCCAUUCUCAGUUCGGAUUGUAGGCUGCAACUCGCCUACAUGAAGUCGGAAUCGCUAGUAAUCGCGGAUCAGCAUGCCGCGGUGAAUACGUUCCCGGGCCUUGUACACACCGCCCGUCACACCAUGAGAGUUUGUAACACCCAAAGUCGGUGGGGUAACCUUUUAGGAACCAGCCGCCUAAGGUGGGACAGAUGAUUAGGGUG